This 348-nucleotide unclassified non-coding RNA is filed under the name soil metagenome. RNAcentral describes it as "partial contains 5.8S ribosomal RNA, internal transcribed spacer 2, and large subunit ribosomal RNA". The stretch from base 1 to 120 matches the Rfam family "5.8S ribosomal RNA", at positions 35 to 154 of the family's 154-position model. The record is from RNAcentral.
GAUGAAGAACGUAGCGAAAUGCGAUAAGUAAUGUGAAUUUCAGAAUUCAGUGAAUCAUCGAAUCUUUGAACGCACAUUGCGCCCGCCAGUAUUCUGGCGGGCAUGCCUGUCUGAGCGUCAUUUCAACCCUCAUGCCCCUAGGGCGUGGUGUUGGGGAUCGGCCAAAGCCCGCGAGGGACGGCCGGCCCCUAAAUCUAGUGGCGGACCCGUCGUGGCCUCCUCUGCGAAGUAGUGAUAUUCCGCAUCGGAGAGCGACGAGCCCCUGCCGUUAAACCCCCAACUUUCCAAGGUUGACCUCAGAUCAGGUAGGAAUACCCGCUGAACUUAAGCAUAUCAAUAAGCGGAGGA